This 24-nucleotide non-coding RNA is filed under the name Arabidopsis thaliana (thale cress). Lineage: Eukaryota; Viridiplantae; Streptophyta; Magnoliopsida; Brassicales; Brassicaceae. The record is from RNAcentral.
UAUACGAAACAGAUUCAGCACGGC